Small nuclear RNA from Sorex fumeus (smoky shrew), 118 nucleotides. The record is from RefSeq and is a predicted model, not a curated record. NCBI's taxonomy places the organism in Eukaryota, Metazoa, Chordata, Mammalia, Eulipotyphla, Soricidae.
GUGUUGUAUGAAAGGAGAGAAGGUUAGCACUCCCCUUGACAAGGCUUGUGGUAGAUGGCUUUAAUUAUAUUGAGGAAAGUCCCCACUAUCCCCAUUUUGGCGAGGGUGUGUUAUUUAU